GCGAACGCUGGCGGCAGGCCUAACACAUGCAAGUCGAACGGAUCCUUCGGGAUUAGUGGCGGACGGGUGAGUAACACGUGGGAACGUGCCUUUUGGUUCGGAAUAGCUCCUGGAAACGGGUGGUAAUGCCGAAUGUGCCCUUCGGGGGAAAGAUUUAUCGCCAUUAGAGCGGCCCGCGUCUGAUUAGCUAGUUGGUGAGGUAAAGGCUCACCAAGGCUACGAUCAGUAGCUGGUCUGAGAGGAUGACCAGCCACAUUGGGACUGGGACACGGCCCAAACUCCUACGGGAGGCAGCAGUGGGGAAUCUUGCGCAAUGGGCGAAAGCCUGACGCAGCCAUGCCGCGUGAAUGAUGAAGGCCUUCGGGUUGUAAAGCUCUUUCGGGUGUGAAAAUGAUGAUGGUAACACCAGAAGAAGCCCCGGCUAACUCCGU
Molecule: ribosomal RNA, 431 nt
Filed under: uncultured bacterium
Lineage: Bacteria
Description: bacterial SSU rRNA
Rfam family: Bacterial small subunit ribosomal RNA
Source: RNAcentral